GAAAAGGUUUAUUCUUUCUAUUCAUUAACAGGUUUUGACGUCAGGAUCGCACCGACUGUGGACCUCAACGACUUUGAAGACAAGAUAAAGAAUUGGUGUGCUGAGGCAGGGGACGAUGUUACAUAUGAGUUUCUCCAGAAAUGCAUGAUACAAGAAACUACACCAGUAGAUAAAUCUCAACCCUGGUGGAAAACGUUCAGCUCUGUCUGCGAGAACAUGGGUCUGAAACUAGAAACAGAGAUAUUCCCGGCAGCUACAGACAGCAGGUUUCUCAGAGAGGUAGGUUAAGU
This is a long non-coding RNA of Mizuhopecten yessoensis (Yesso scallop), 290 nucleotides long. RefSeq lists it as uncharacterized. The record is from RefSeq and is a predicted model, not a curated record. Lineage: Eukaryota; Metazoa; Mollusca; Bivalvia; Pectinida; Pectinidae. The transcript has 3 exons.